CACCCGCCAGCCACUCAUCCAUUCAGG
This 27-nucleotide small RNA is filed under the name Bombyx mori (domestic silkworm). RNAcentral describes it as "ovarian small RNA-4660". The record is from RNAcentral. Lineage: Eukaryota; Metazoa; Arthropoda; Insecta; Lepidoptera; Bombycidae.